Molecule: small nuclear RNA, 104 nt
Organism: Phacochoerus africanus (Common warthog)
Lineage: Eukaryota; Metazoa; Chordata; Mammalia; Artiodactyla; Suidae
Source: RefSeq, a predicted model, not a curated record
GUUCUCACUUCAGCAGCACAUAUACCAAAAUUGGAAUGAUACAGAGAUUAGUAUGGCCUCUGUGCAAGGAAGAUAUACAAAUUCAUGAAGCAUUCCAUAUUUUA